GGCAGAAGGUGUGUGGCGGUCGGCGAUAUGAGCCUGGAAACUCCUUUCCAAGCAUAUUCAUUCCGCGUAACACGUUCAACAGGUGCUGAUGAUACUCAACCCAGUCAGGCCACCAGUGUGUUAUCUGUACACAUGGGAUGGCAGCAGACGAGAAGCUGAUUAUGCAGAAAUGGAUUAACCUGUUUCUGCAUGGAGGAGUCAUCCAUGAGCACCAACUAAGUCCCGGUAGUAAUUAAGAAAAAUGCAGUGAGGUACAGUCUGUACUGUGGAAAAGUUAAGCAACUGGUAGAAGUGUAUAUAGCUUAAAAAUAUGCAGUGUGCUGUGUUUGUAAUUGUUACAUUGCCAUUGAUACAUCUGAUUCAGAUGCGUUUGGAAUCUUUGGAUUGAAGAUGUAAUAGAAAAUGUUGCAGCUAAUACCUAAUGUGUCACCAUUAAUUCAAUGUUGUGAGAAACCAUUUUGCAUGUCAAUUACAGUAACUUGCAUGAUAUAUUCCAUAACUAUAUAUGCUUAACUUGCAUUAUAUAUUCCAUAACUAUAUAUGCUUUCAGUAACUGUUUUUGUAAGCAUGACUGAUUGAAAAGGAGCAGUGACUUUCUGAUGUUCUGUGCUUUACCAUAUAUUCCAUAUAUUGAACAGCCUUAGAAUGUAUUAAAGGUAACUAUAGGGAAGGAUAGAAUCAUUAUACUAUUUAUGGAUGUGUGUUUCAGAUGUUCUGUCAAAAAUUGGUAUAUGAGCAGUUCCUGGUGAAUAGAUUUUAAAUCACAGAAUUUCAUGUUUAUAGUGCAGUGCUUUUCACCAUAACCUGUACACACAUGUAUGAGGUCACUCUCAAUGUAAGACAUUGUAUGUGUUGAGACCUAGUGUGAGUCUUGCUAAGCAAUACUGCCACUCAAGCACAUGAUGAUAGGGGUAACAAGAACAGGGAAUUGAUGGUUAAGAAGCUUUUAUUUUUCUUUUGUUUUGUGUGAAUAUAAUCUGAAUAAUUAAGAUUUAUCUAUUUUUCCAUAUCAGUUUAUUAUGUAACUGUAUGAAUUUUCCUUCGUGGCGAAUUAUAUAUACAAAACAUACAGUAAGUGCAAAGACAUGCAAGGAUUUUAUCCAAAUGUAUGAAAAGUGUUGGCCUUUCUUUUCCAAGUAUUGGAUCCCCUAAAUUUGUCAAGCUUUACUUUGCAGUCAAGUCAUCAUGAAAUAAACAGUGGUCUUGAUAAA
Long non-coding RNA from Branchiostoma floridae (Florida lancelet), 1211 nucleotides. RefSeq lists it as uncharacterized. The transcript has 2 exons. The record is from RefSeq and is a predicted model, not a curated record. Lineage: Eukaryota; Metazoa; Chordata; Leptocardii; Amphioxiformes; Branchiostomatidae.